AUUGAACGCUGGCGGCAUGCCUUACACAUGCAAGUCGAACGGUAACAGGUCUUCGGACGCUGACGAGUGGCGAACGGGUGAGUAAUACAUCGGAACGUGCCCAGUCGUGGGGGAUAACUACUCGAAAGAGUAGCUAAUACCGCAUACGAUCUGAGGAUGAAAGCGGGGGACCUUCGGGCCUCGCGCGAUUGGAGCGGCCGAUGGCGGAUUAGGGGGUUGGUGGGAUAAAAGCUUACCAAGCCGACGAUCUGUAGCUGGUCUGAGAGGACGACCAGCCACCCUGGGACGAAGCGCCGGCCCAGACUCCUACGGGAGGGAGCAUUGGGGAAUUUUGGACAAGGGGCGAAAGCCUGAUCCAGCAAUGCCGCGUGCAGGAUGAAGGCCUUCGGGUUGUAAACUGCUUUUGUACGGAGCGAAAAAGCUCCUUCUAAUACAGGGGGCCCAUGACGGUACCGGAAGAAUAAGCACCGGCUAACUACGUGCCAGCCGCCGCGGUAA
Molecule: ribosomal RNA, 498 nt
Filed under: uncultured bacterium
Lineage: Bacteria
Description: partial 16S ribosomal RNA
Rfam family: Bacterial small subunit ribosomal RNA
Source: RNAcentral